AGGAAGAAAGGAAAAAAGAAAAGAAAAAAAAGAAAGAUGAGGAGUUCGAGCUUCCAGAGAGCUGCAUUUAACCACUUGGCCCCAGCCAGCCUUGAAGCCGGCCGCCUCCUGAACUUCUCAAUCCUCCACUGCUGUCACCCUCAGAGCUCCAGCACUUCAGAGCUAUGUCACCCCAGUUACUAUCUUCGAUCACAUCUAGACAGUGGGAGUUCCACUCCUAGAGAACGAGGCACAGGGAAAGGCAAGAAUUGGGUACCCCCGGCUGCUUUGGGCUUGCCUUCUGAGUUAUGCUUGACUCUCUGAGGACCAGCCUUUUCCCUCAAAUGACUGACCCUGGGGUCAUCCACCCAGAGUCAUCAAUGGCCUGAAUCGUGCCUUGAAGGAUGAGUAGAAGGGUGCCAGGAACCAGGAAGAAGGGAAGACACUCGUGGCUGAGGAGAUGAGGACAUAUUCCUGUUGCACUUGCUGGCUGCUCAGUAAAGCAGACCCAAGUGGGGAGCUUCAGGGGCCCGGGGUCUCAGAAGAGCAGCCCACUGGGGACUCAGUUCUCCAGGCUUCCUUCUUCAUCCCUGUUCUUCCUCCACAGGCUCUUGAGAAAAGAGCCUCUGGGGAGCAAGGACCAGGAUGUGGCGUCAGGCCUGUGGGUCCUGACUCCCCUUCCAGGAUACCCCUGGGAUGCUGGUGCCCAUGGAGGCACUGGGUGACUCGAGGCCAGUGGCUUUCUCUCCUCAGACAGGAAUAUUGGCAGGAAGAACCGUUUGCUUUGCACCAAAGGAUCUCAAGAGACUCUUCUAAUUCCUGCUCUUUUCUGCCUCAAGGCUCCCUUGGUAAUGAGCUCAUUUGACCUCUGUGCCCCCUGGGAUGAUAGUUUAGAGCAGAGACCAGCCUCCCCAUUAUGCAGAUAGGAAAACUGAGGCCAGGGAAGGACCUGAACACAGACUCAGUGAAGGAGGCUUUGGAAUUCAACCUUUCACUAGGCGAGGGCUCAGCAAAUCCAGCCCACCACCUGUUUUUGUAAAUAAAGUUAUUACUGGAGCACAGCCAUGCACGUUCAUUUACACGUCAUCCCGGGACGCCUUCACAAGACAACAGCAAAGGUGAAUCGUAGCUACAGAGGCUGUAUGGUUGGCAGAGUAAAAAAUACUUAGUAUCUAGCCCUUUAUGGGAAAAGUCUGCCAACCCUGGCGGUCGAUCACACUUUCCCACAGAAACAAGGUGUAGAUAAAAGAACAAGAAAAUUCAUGCCCUCCUAUGUGCCUGGCGCUAACAAGCCUUUCCUGAUGUGUUAAUCACCACGUAAAGGUGUAGCUCCUUGAACUUGCGCACACUGAAUACGCCUGCCUAACCGCCCCCCUCUGACUCUCCCAGUCACUACCCCCCAAAGGGCAACCACUCUCCCUACUUCCCUUUGCACAGGUGUGUUUUGCCUGGUUUUGACAUUUCCGUUCGUGGAGUCACAGGAUGUGCUCCUUUGUAUCCACUCUAUGCCAUGUUUGUGAGCUUUAACAAUACGGUUGCCCAUCACUGGAGUCCAUUCUUGCUAGAGAAGAUGCCCUGGGGUGAAGACACGACAAGGUACUUACCCAUUCUCCUGCUGCUGGCCACUUGGUCUGUUUCCAGUUUCCGUGGAGUGAGAGGACUAUCCAAGAUAGUGGACCCACAUUACCUCGUCUCAGCCUGGCCUCAACCCUGACAGGGGGACCCCUGCAUAGCCUCAUUUGGAAGAUGUGCAAGUCUGGAGACACGGCCGGUGUGGAAAGCUUUAGUAACGUGGUACUUGUGGUCCUGGCUCUCUGGCUUCGUUAUUAGAUUCUGCUUUGAAAUCCCACUGUGACUACACACUGCAGGAUUCCAUUUGCACGAACUUUCUAGAAAAAGCAAAACUCUGGUGACUGAAGGUAAAGCCUGGGUUGUCAGAGACUGGGAGCAGCAAGGAUGGACUGCAAAAGGGCAGGCGGUGAUGGAAAUAUUCUAACAGUGGAUGGCCGGCAGGAUCACACAGCUGUGUUUCUUUAAAGCUGAUCUAGCUCUGUGCUUCUAGUGGGUGAAAUCGUAUGGAAUGUAAGUUAUACCUCAAUAAGGCUGUUCCCCCAAAAUUCCAAAUUUACACUCAUCUGUUUCUUUGUGCAUGCACAUGCACGCACGCACACACACACACACACACAGACGCCGCCCCCCCCCCCCCGCCCCGCCUCAGUUUCCCUAUCUAUAAGAGAGAGGUCGCUGCUCAGUAGAUGCGUGAGGCCGAUUGUGCAAACAGUCGCGGGCCGUUUAGCCUGGGCCUCUUUGGCUUCCCCCACGAUUAGACACCCCCCCACCAGCGUGGCCUCUCUCUGCAAAGGCCUGGGUCGGGGUGGGGGGGAGCUGGGGUGUCUCCCUGCAGAGGUGACAUCUGAAGCGAUCAGAAUCCUGUUUGGCUUUGCUGCAUCCG
Lutra lutra (Eurasian river otter) is the source of this 2431-nucleotide long non-coding RNA. RefSeq lists it as uncharacterized. NCBI's taxonomy places the organism in Eukaryota, Metazoa, Chordata, Mammalia, Carnivora, Mustelidae. The transcript is spliced from 3 exons. The record is from RefSeq and is a predicted model, not a curated record.